GAUGAACGCUGGCGGCGUGCUUAACACAUGCAAGUCGAGCGAAGCGAAUCUUCGGAAGUUUUCGGAUGGAAGAGGAUUUGACUUAGCGGCGGACGGGUGAGUAACGCGUGGGUAACCUGCCUUACACUGGGGGAUAACAGUUAGAAAUGACUGCUAAUACCGCAUAAGCGCACAGGGCCGCAUGGCCUGGUGUGAAAAACUCCGGUGGUGUAAGAUGGACCCGCGUCUGAUUAGGUAGUUGGCGGGGUAACGGCCCACCAAGCCGACGAUCAGUAGCCGACCUGAGAGGGUGACCGGCCACAUUGGGACUGAGACACGGGCCCAAACUCCUACGGGAGGCAGCAGUGGGGAAUAUUGGGACAAUGGGCGAAAGCCUGAUCCAGCGACGCCGCGUGAGUGAAGAAGUAUUUCGGUAUGUAAAGCUCUAUCAGCAGGGAA
RNAcentral lists this ribosomal RNA (438 nucleotides) under uncultured bacterium. RNAcentral describes it as "bacterial SSU rRNA". It matches the Rfam family "Bacterial small subunit ribosomal RNA", at positions 28 to 446 of the family's 1533-position model. The record is from RNAcentral.